Manis pentadactyla (Chinese pangolin) is the source of this 504-nucleotide long non-coding RNA. RefSeq lists it as uncharacterized. Lineage: Eukaryota; Metazoa; Chordata; Mammalia; Pholidota; Manidae. The transcript is spliced from 2 exons. The record is from RefSeq and is a predicted model, not a curated record.
GACCCCAACACUGAAUGUCAAAGCAGGUGAUCACUCCCAAGGGAGACAGGCUGGCCUCGCAAGCCCAGCGGGGCUGCUGACACCUGCUCACUCACAGAAGCUGAGGGCAUCAAAGAACAUGUACCACAUUACCGGGUGAUCCCCAGUGAGUCAUGAGAUUACAGGCCAGACAGACUGCGUUAGGGAUCUCGCCUGACCAGCGAUCUGAGCUGAGUCGGGGAGAAAGAGCCAUGUGCCGCGGUGCUGUGGGGCGUCUGCCAACCGCCUCUGCUUCAGCUCAUCAGCCGUGUGACACUGAGCAAAUGACUUUUAUUCUCUGGUUCUUCAUUUCCUCAUUGGCAAAAUGGGAAUAAUAAAAUUUUGCCCAACAGAAGUGGUUGGAAAGAUUUAAGAAAUGCAUGUAUACAUAGGACAGGUGCCUAGGAAGUGCCAGACAGUGGGCACCGAUAAAUGGCUUGCUAUUGUUAGCAUUUAAAAUAAAAUGCAACCAUGUGUUUGUAUUUA